This 1359-nucleotide ribosomal RNA is filed under the name uncultured bacterium. RNAcentral describes it as "bacterial SSU rRNA". It matches the Rfam family "Bacterial small subunit ribosomal RNA", at positions 28 to 1387 of the family's 1533-position model. The record is from RNAcentral.
GAUGAACCCUUGCGGCGUGCUUAACACAUGCAAGUCGAACGAAGCACUUUACCGGAUUUCUUCGGAAUGAAAGUUUUGUGACUGAGUGGCGGACGGGUGAGUAACGCGUGGGUAACCUGCCUCAUACGGGGGGAUAACAGUUAGAAAUGACUGCUAAUACCGCAUAAGACCACAAGACCGCAUGGUCCGGUGGUAAAAACUCCGGUGGUAUGAGAUGGACCCGCGUCUGAUUAGCUAGUUGGUAAGGUAACGGCUUACCAAGGCGACGAUCAGUAGCCGACCUGAGAGGGUGACCGGCCACAUUGGGACUGAGACACGGCCCAAACUCCUACGGGAGGCAGCAGUGGGGAAUAUUGCACAAUGGGGGAAACCCUGAUGCAGCGACGCCGCGUGAGCGAUGAAGUAUUUCGGUAUGUAAAGCUCUAUCAGCAGGGAAGAAUUAGGACGGUACCUGACUAAGAAGCACCGGCUAAAUACGUGCCAGCAGCCGCGGUAAUACGUAUGGUGCAAGCGUUAUCCGGAUUUACUGGGUGUAAAGGGAGCGUAGACGGAGAGGCAAGUCUGAUGUGAAAACCCGGGGCUCAACCCCGGGACUGCAUUGGAAACUGUUUUUCUAGAGUGUCGGAGAGGUAAGUGGAAUUCCUAGUGUAGCGGUGAAAUGCGUAGAUAUUAGGAGGAACACCAGUGGCGAAGGCGGCUUACUGGACGAUGACUGACGUUGAGGCUCGAAAGCGUGGGGAGCAAACAGAAGUAGAUACCCUGGUAGUCCACGCCGUAAACGAUGACUGCUAGGUGUCGGGAGGCAAAGCCUUUCGGUGCCGCAGCAAACGCAAUAAGCAGUCCACCUGGGGAGUACGUUCGCAAGAAUGAAACUCAAAGGAAUUGACGGGGACCCGCACAAGCGGUGGAGCAUGUGGUUUAAUUCGAAGCAACGCGAAGAACCUUACCUGCCCUUGACAUCCGGCUGACCGGCGAGUCAUGUCGCCUUUCCUUCGGGACAGCCGAGACAGGUGGUGCAUGGUUGUCGUCAGCUCGUGUCGUGAGAUGUUGGGUUAAGUCCCGCAACGAGCGCAACCCUUAUCUUUAGUAGCCAGCAUUUCGGAUGGGCACUCUAGAGAGACUGCCAGGGAUAACCUGGAGGAAGGUGGGGAUGACGUCAAAUCAUCAUGCCCCUUAUGGGCAGGGCUACACACGUGCUACAAUGGCGUAAACAAAGGGAGGCAAGCCUGCGAGGGUGAGCAAAUCCCAAAAAUAACGUCUCAGUUCGGAUUGUAGUCUGCAACUCGACUACAUGAAGCUGGAAUCGCUAGUAAUCGCGAAUCAGAAUGUCGCGGUGAAUACGUUCCCGGGUCUUGCACA